GAGCCUCCCCUUUAGGCCGGAUUCGCAAAUGUGUGUUCUCGGGUUAUGGAUUUAACAUAGUCUAAAUAGAUUCGGCAAGAGAUUGCGCGGCAUAAGACUCUCUCGACCUCUUUUGCCCAUACUGAAAUUCCAGGACAUUCAUGAAUCUACUCGAGCUCUUUGGCAGUAUUAAGAUCCCCUACCCACCUUUCAUGUAAAAAGAAAAAGGCGACUCGCCAAUGUCAAUCUUAUGGUUCUAAGGGCAAGUACCUCCUACUAAACUCAGUAUUAAGAUCGCCUACCCACCUUUCAUGUAAAAAGAAAAAGG
Molecule: long non-coding RNA, 307 nt
Filed under: Nicotiana benthamiana
Lineage: Eukaryota; Viridiplantae; Streptophyta; Magnoliopsida; Solanales; Solanaceae
Description: long non-coding RNA (NBEN_LNC008215)
Source: RNAcentral